RNAcentral lists this ribosomal RNA (111 nucleotides) under Acanthosepion pharaonis. The record is from RNAcentral. Lineage: Eukaryota; Metazoa; Mollusca; Cephalopoda; Sepiida; Sepiidae.
AUGACCAUAUCAUUUGAAAUACCAGUUCUCAUGCAAUCACCAAAGUUAAGCAAUGUUGAGCCUGGUCAGUAUCUAGAUGGGUGACCACUUGGGAAUACCAGGUGCUGUAAG